RNAcentral lists this ribosomal RNA (470 nucleotides) under uncultured bacterium. RNAcentral's name for it is "bacterial SSU rRNA". It matches the Rfam family "Bacterial small subunit ribosomal RNA", at positions 335 to 803 of the family's 1533-position model. The record is from RNAcentral.
ACUCCUACGGGAGGCAGCAGUGGGAAGUAUUGCACAAUGGGCGCAAGCCUGAUGCAGCCAUGCCGCGUGUAUGAAGAAGGCCUUGGGUUGUAAAGUACUUUCAGUGUGAGGAAGGCGGCGUCGUUAAUAGCGGCGUUGUUUGACGUUAGCGACAGAAGAAGCACCGGCUAACUCCGUGCCAGCAGCCGCGGUAAUACGGAGGGUGCGAGCGUUAAUCGGAAUUACUGGGCGUAAAGCGCAUGCAGGUGGUUUGUUAAGUCAGAUGUGAAAGCCCGGGGCUCAACCUCGGAAUUGCAUUUGAAACUGGCAGACUAGAGUACUGUAGAGGGGGUAGAAUUUCAGGUGUAGCGGUGAAAUGCGUAGAGAUCUGAAGGAAUACCGGUGGCGAAGGCGGCCCCCUGGACAGAUACUGACACUCAGAUGCGAAAGCGUGGGAGCAAACAGGAUUAGAUACCCCUGGUAGCGACUGA